RNAcentral lists this non-coding RNA (105 nucleotides) under Actinokineospora bangkokensis. RNAcentral describes it as "TPP sequence". It matches the Rfam family "TPP riboswitch aptamer (THI element)". Rfam says of the family: Vitamin B(1) in its active form thiamin pyrophosphate (TPP) is an essential coenzyme that is synthesised by coupling of pyrimidine and thiazole moieties in bacteria. The previously detected thiamin-regulatory element, thi box was extended, resulting in a new, highly conserved RNA secondary structure, the THI element, which is widely distributed in eubacteria and also occurs in some archaea. Analysis of operon structures identified a large number of new candidate thiamin-regulated genes, mostly transporters, in various prokaryotic organisms. Lineage: Bacteria; Bacillati; Actinomycetota; Actinomycetes; Pseudonocardiales; Pseudonocardiaceae. The record is from Rfam by way of RNAcentral.
AGGCGGUCGCACGGGAGUCCGGGGACGGGCUGAGAGGGAGCUGCUGCUCCGACCGUUGGACCUGAUCCGGGUCAUGCCGGCGCAGGGAGCGUGGGAGAUGUCUGU